GGAGAGGUGCCCGAGUGGCUAAAGGGGACGGACUGUAAAUCCGUUGGCUUAUGUCUACGUAGGUUCGAAUCCUACCCUCUCCACCA
This 86-nucleotide transfer RNA is filed under the name Pseudobdellovibrionaceae bacterium. RNAcentral describes it as "Bdellovibrionaceae bacterium tRNA-Tyr". It matches the Rfam family "tRNA". From Rfam's summary of the family: Transfer RNA (tRNA) molecules are approximately 80 nucleotides in length. Their secondary structure includes four short double-helical elements and three loops (D, anti-codon, and T loops). Further hydrogen bonds mediate the characteristic L-shaped molecular structure. tRNAs have two regions of fundamental functional importance: the anti-codon, which is responsible for specific mRNA codon recognition, and the 3' end, to which the tRNAs corresponding amino acid is attached (by aminoacyl-tRNA synthetases). tRNAs cope with the degeneracy of the genetic code in two manners: having more than one tRNA (with a specific anti-codon) for a particular amino acid; and 'wobble' base-pairing, i.e. permitting non-standard base-pairing at the 3rd anti-codon position. Lineage: Bacteria; Pseudomonadati; Bdellovibrionota; Bdellovibrionia; Bdellovibrionales; Pseudobdellovibrionaceae. The record is from RNAcentral. RNAcentral also lists the same sequence under 1 other name.